CUCGUACUUUCUCCGUUCGGAAAAUACUUGUUAUCAAAAUGAAUGCAAGAGGAUGUAUCUAGACGUAUUUUUAAUCUAAAUACAUCUAUUUUUAUCCAUUUUAAUGAAAAAUAUUUUCGAACGAAGGGAAUAUGUG
This is a non-coding RNA of Triticum urartu, 136 nucleotides long. Lineage: Eukaryota; Viridiplantae; Streptophyta; Magnoliopsida; Poales; Poaceae. The record is from Rfam.